AUUGAACGCUGGCGGCAGGCCUAACACAUGCAAGUCGAACGAGUGGCGGACGGGUGAGUAAUGUCUGGGAACCUGCCCGAUGGAGGUGGAUAACUACUGGAAGCGGUAGCUAAUCCCGCAUCCCAUCGGAUGUGCCCAGAUGGGAUUAGCUAGUAGGUGGGGUAAAGGCUCACCUAGGCGACGAUCCCUAGCUGGUCUGAGAGGAUGACCAUCCACACUGGAACUGAGACACGGCCCAGACUCCUACGGGAGGCAGCAGUGGGGAAUAUUGCACAAUGGGCGCAAGCCUGAUGCAGCCAUGCCGCGUGUAUGAAGAAGGCCUUCGGGUUGUAAAGCCCUUUUGUUGGGAAAGCGUUACCCAAAGAAUAAGCACCGGCUAACUUCGUGCCAGCAGCCGCGGUAAUUC
This 406-nucleotide ribosomal RNA is filed under the name uncultured bacterium. RNAcentral's name for it is "partial 16S ribosomal RNA". It matches the Rfam family "Bacterial small subunit ribosomal RNA", at positions 30 to 526 of the family's 1533-position model. The record is from RNAcentral.